This is a long non-coding RNA of Gossypium raimondii (Peruvian cotton), 2958 nucleotides long. RefSeq lists it as uncharacterized. The transcript has 3 exons. The record is from RefSeq and is a predicted model, not a curated record. NCBI's taxonomy places the organism in Eukaryota, Viridiplantae, Streptophyta, Magnoliopsida, Malvales, Malvaceae.
UUUCCCUUCUUCCACCGAUCAAACCCAAACCCCGUGCCCUCCUCCCAUUUCCCAUUCCCAUUUAUCCUCUUCCACCGAUCAAAGUCCCAAACCCCGUGCCCUCCUCUGAUCAAAGCCGUAAUUCUUAUCCUUUGUUAAAUGAUCUUGUGAUAAUUUUUUAUUUAUUUAAGGAAAUCCAAUCUGCAUUUUCACUUUAUUUCCAUUCUAGACAUUUUUUUUUAUCUGUUUGCUCAAAUGGGUAUCUAUUAUUAGGCAUAAAAAAAGUUUUUGUUUUUGUUUUUUAAUUUUUUCUGUAAAGCUAUUAACUUUCUUGCUCUUUCUAAAUACAAGAGAAUAAAUUCACAAAAGCAAAUUCCCAUUUAUGUUUGAUCAUUUGGGUAUUUUUCGUUUGAUCAUUUGGGUAUCUAUUAUUAGGGGUUUUGAUUCCAUGGCUGCAGUGGCUGAUAAUUCAGGCGAGGCAGCAGUAGCUAAUGGAAACAACAAUUUGGUUGUUGAAACAUCCAAAUCAGAAUCAAAGGAAUUCAAUGUGCAAAAGCUUGUUGAUAUGUUCACAAAGUUGAAUCCUUUAGCCAAAGAAUUUUUCCCAUCAUCGUAUCAUCAUAAUCCCACCAAAACUGGUGAUUUUAAUUAGGCUCCUGUUAAUAAGCAAGGCAAUGAGAAUUUCCCCAAUAGAAGGGUAUUUUCUUUUCACUCAUCAUUCACUUUUUCCAUUUUUUCUUGGGUUUUGACUGAUGAGUGUUUGAUAGUUUUGAGUUAUAUAUACACACAUAUACUUACAUAUAAGAUUUUUGAGGUUAUUUUUGUCUUGUGGGAAAAUGUUCUUUUUUUAGUGUUUUGGGGUUAUUAGUGGAUAUCAUAGGAUUUGUUAGGAUAUCAUAUGGUUCUUGUAUCUUUGAUAAUUCAAUGAUUUGAAAAAAUUGUUAGGAUAUCAUAUGGUUCUUGGAUUUGACAAAAUUGUUGUCUUUUACUGGCAUUAUGAUUUUAAGGUUUUCAAUUUGCCUAAUUGUUGUCUAAUUAUUAAUUUGAUCGACUUGUUGGAAUUUGGAUUUAAUUGGAUUUAGAUUUUCUUGAUCUACUUGUCAUAUAUGGAAUAAGGUUAUGCCGAAUGUCGACACGUAACGGUCUCAUAUUUGUUCAUUUUUCUUUUCGUUGGUUAUAUUUGAUAAAUGGUGGUUUUUUCUCAGAGAAGAAAUAACUACAACCAGGGUAGAAGAAAGCUUAAUGGGAAAGCUUUUCGUGCUCAAAGAGAUGAUAGCAUUAAGCGAACUGUAUAUGUUUCUGAUAUUGAUCAGACUGUAAAUUUAAACAAUGGCAUCAUUUAAUGAUUUCUUAUAGUAUCAUUAUGAUUUCGAGAAGUCACUUGCGAAAUUCAUUGUCUUGUUGUUCUAGAUCACUGAAGAACAACUUGCUGGCUUAUUUAGUAACUGUGGACAAGUAAGUUAAAGAUCUCUAAUUGAGUGCCUUAGUUUGUGUUGGCACUCAGCUGAAGCCAUGGUACCAAACAACCUCUGAUUCCAUGGCAACUUUAAGUGAGGUGCUAGUGUUGGGCAUGGGUACUCCUGAUUCCUGAUUUAAUAGCCAUUCAUUAAUGUUAUUAGCAUUAUUUUUUGUUUGCUGAUGCCUGUUAUUCAAGAUUGAAUGAAUGGCUAAUCAAUAAUAGCCUGUGAAGAUGAAAAACCCCUCUGUUCCUUCUGUGCUCAUGUAGUUGUACUUAUCUCUUUCCAUUUUGGAAUUAAACACUAUUUAUAGUUGUUAAUGUAGUUGUGAAAUCACGUAGCAAUGGUUUAAGGGACUAAUUGUUACAAUCUAAAUGUUUUUCUCUAAGAUCUAGACAACUAUAUCUACUUUUGGGAAGUAAGCUAGUAAUUUUCAUUGAUACUAUUCUACUAGAGAACAGUACUUAUUUUUCUUAGGGAACAAUGUAAUCUACAAAGUAUAAUCUUCAUAGUUCCUACAUUUGUAGUUUACUUCGCUUCAAUUUACUUGAAGCAGCUAAAGCUUUAUGUUUUACCCUUAAAAGAAUAGUGAUUGUAUCUGAUUUUUACUCAGAAGAUGGCACAGUUAUUUAUCACAUAAUACUUGAUAAAAUUGAAAUUUGAGCAGCCUGAAGUGUAGUUUUUGUUUUUUGUUUUUAAAGAUUUGAGGAUUCUUAGCACAUAUAGGUCAAUUUUUUCAUCCUUUUUCUUUUUAUGCUUUACUUCAUUCUAGCACUUCGGCAAAAUCAUAGAUUUUACAUGUUAUAUAAUUUUUGUUAACAUCAUUAGAAUAUCUGAAAUGCAUCACUGCAAUUGUUAAGCUGUAUUAUGUUAAUAUGUUCUAUUAUUUCUGUCUCGAUGCUUAAGACCUGGUAUGUUGAAGUUGUCUCCAUUCCUUAUUUUCUGGCAGAUUUGUUAGUGGAAAUUAUAGGUUGUAAUGACUUUUUGGAGUCCUUUUACUUGAUUUAUUUUCCAUUCAUCUUUCUAAAGGACUUAAUAAUGAAGGUAUUUUCAGCUUUUGGAUUUGUGCAUAAGAAUACUACCUUUGAGAAGACAGCUGGAUUUCAGUCAGGGAUAUAUAUAUUGAAUGGGGACUGAUGCUAUUGAAGCAGGGGAGACUCCAUUUGACUCCUAUCCUAGUUCCUUUGAGUGCAGUGCAGUGCAGCAGUGGAGAUAAGGCUUAGACAUCUCACUGUGCUAGAGCUGACUGAAGCUUUUAGCACCAGUGGAGAUAAGGCUGUCCAGUGCAGCAGAAACGUCUCACUGUGCUGGAAGCAAGACAUCCAAACAGCCAAGCAAUUCACUGUGGUGCAGUGAGAUUGAAAAUCAAGGUAAAAAUUUUCAACGCAUUGUAGUGCAGUGAGAUUGAAAACUCUGCUUUUUUUUAAUUAUUAUUGUGUAAUAUAUUAUAUAGGUUAAUAUACCAUUUGGUACCCGAGCUUGGCUUUAAUGUUCAAUUUGGUACCUGAGUUUUUUGUCUCAA